RNAcentral lists this ribosomal RNA (429 nucleotides) under Bacillota bacterium. RNAcentral's name for it is "Firmicutes bacterium partial 16S ribosomal RNA". It matches the Rfam family "Bacterial small subunit ribosomal RNA", at positions 355 to 776 of the family's 1533-position model. Lineage: Bacteria; Bacillati; Bacillota. The record is from RNAcentral.
UAGGGAAUCUUCGGCAAUGGACGGAAGUCUGACCGAGCAACGCCGCGUGAGUGUAGAAGGUUUUCGGAUCGUAUAGCUCUGUUGUUAGAGAAGAACGUUGGUAGGAGUGGAAAAUCUACCAAGUGACGGUAACUAACCAGAAAGGGACGGCUAACUACGUGCCAGCAGCCGCGGUAAUACGUAGGUCCCGAGCGUUGUCCGGAUUUAUUGGGCGUAAAGCGAGCGCAGGCGGUUCUUUAAGUCUGAAGUUAAAGGCAGUUGAUUAACCAAUGUACGCUUUGGAAACCGGAGGAUUUGAGCGCAGAAGGGGCGAGUGGAAUUCCAUGUGUAGCGGUGAAAUGCGUAGAUAUAUGGAGGAACACCGGUGGCGGAAGCGGCUCUCUGGACUGUAUCAGACGCUGAGGCUAGAAAGCGUGGGGAGAAAACAGG